GCACACGUAGCUCAAUUGGAUAGAGUAUCGGACCGCGAAUCCGACGGUUGGAAGUUCAAAUCUUCUCGUGUGCGCCA
Molecule: transfer RNA, 77 nt
Filed under: Rickettsiales bacterium
Lineage: Bacteria; Pseudomonadati; Pseudomonadota; Alphaproteobacteria; Rickettsiales
Description: tRNA-Arg
Rfam family: tRNA
About the family: Transfer RNA (tRNA) molecules are approximately 80 nucleotides in length. Their secondary structure includes four short double-helical elements and three loops (D, anti-codon, and T loops).
Source: RNAcentral